UGCAAGUCGAGGGGUAACAGGGGUAGCAAUACCUGCUGACGACCGGCGUACGGGUGAGUAACGCGUAUGCAACCUGCCCUAUACAGGAGGAUAGCCCGGAGAAAUUCGGAUUAAUACUCCAUGUAGCAUUUUUUUCGCAUGAAUUAGAUGUUAAAGAUUUAUCGGUAUAGGAUGGGCAUGCGUCCCAUUAGCUAGUUGGUGAGGUAACGGCUCACCAAGGCAUCGAUGGGUAUGGGGUCUUAAAGGAUGGUCCCACACACUGGCACUGAGACACGGGCCAGACUCCUACGGGAGGCAGCAGUGAGGAAUAUUGGUCAAUGGGUGAGAGCCUGAACCAGCCAUCCCGCGUGCAGGAUGACGGUCCUAGUGAUUGUAAACUGCUUUUCUAUGAGAUGAAUAAGAAUUACGUGUAGUUCGAUGACCGUAUUAUAGGAAUAAGCAUCGGCUAACUCCGUGCCAGCAGCCGCGGUAAUACGGAGGAUGCAAGCGUUAUCCGGAUUUAUUAGGUUUAAAGGGUGCGUAGGUGGGCGUUUAAGUCAGUGGUUAAAGCCAUUAGCUUAACUAAUGUAUGCCAUUGAUACUGGAUGUCUUGAAUGUGGUAGAGGUAGGCGGAAUGUGUUGUGUAGCGGUGAAAUGCUUAGAUAUAACACAGAACACCGAUUGCGAAGGCAGCUUACUAUUCCAUUAUUGACGCUGAUGCACGAAAGCGUGGGGAUCAAACAGGAUUAGAUACCCUGGUAGUCCACGCCGUAAACGAUGGAUACUAGGUGUAGGGGGUAUCGACCCCCCCUGUGCCGGAGUUAACGCAAUAAGUAUCCCGCCUGGGGAGUACGGUCGCAAGACUGAAACUCAAAGGAAUUGACGGGGGCCCGCACAAGCAGCGGAGCAUGUGGUUUAAUUCGAAGCAACGCGAAGAACCUUACCAGGGCUUGACAUCCCGAUGACCGGUACAGAGAUGUACCUUCCCUUCGGGGCAUUGGAGACAGGUGGUGCAUGGUUGUCGUCAGCUCGUGUCGUGAGAUGUUGGGUUAAGUCCCGCAACGAGCGCAACCCCUAUCCUUAGUUGCCAUCAGUUAAAGCUGGGCACUCUAAAGAGACUGCCGGGGAUAACUCGGAGGAAGGUGGGGAUGACGUCAAAUCAUCAUGCCCCUUAUGUCCUGGGCUACACACGUGCUACAAUGGCCUGUAACAGAGGGAAGCGAAGCCGUAAGGCGGAGCAAAACUCAGAAACCAGGUCCCAGUUCGGAUUGUGGGCUGCAACUCGCCCACAUGAAGUCGGAGUUGCUAGUAAUCGCGAAUCAGCAUGUCGCGGUGAAUACGUUCCCGGGCCUUGUACACACCGCCCGUCACACCAUGGAAGUUGGGGGGACCCGAAGCCGGUGACC
Molecule: ribosomal RNA, 1385 nt
Filed under: uncultured prokaryote
Description: bacterial SSU rRNA
Rfam family: Bacterial small subunit ribosomal RNA
Source: RNAcentral